CGGGGUGCACCAGGCGCGAAAACUUUACAAUGCCGGCAACGGCGAUAAGGGAACCUCGAGUGCCAGGUUACAAAUCUGGCUGUCGUGAUGCCUAAAAAGCAUUGCAUAGCAAGGGCCGGGCAAGACCGGUGCCAGCCGCCGCGGUAACACCGGCGGCUCGAGUGGUAACCGUUAUUAUUGGGUCUAAAGGGUCUGUAGCCGGCCGGGUAAGUCUCUUGGGAAAUCUGGCAGCUUAACUGUCAGGCUUUCAGGAGAUACUGCCUGGCUCGAGGCCGGGAGAGGUGAGAGGUACUUCAGGGGUAGGGGUGAAAUCUUGUAAUCCUUGAAGGACCACCAGUGGCGAAGGCGUCUCACCAGAACGGACCUGACGGCAAGGGACGAAAGCUAGGGGCACGAACCGGAUUAGAUACCCGGGUAGUCCUAGCCGUAAACGAUACUCGCUAGGUGUCGGCCACGGUGCGACCGUGUCGGUGCCGUAGGGAAGCCGUGAAGCGAGCCACCUGGGAAGUACGGCCGCAAGGCUGAAACUUAAAGGAAUUGGCGGGGGAGCAC
RNAcentral lists this ribosomal RNA (552 nucleotides) under uncultured archaeon. RNAcentral describes it as "bacterial SSU rRNA". It matches the Rfam family "Archaeal small subunit ribosomal RNA", at positions 326 to 879 of the family's 1478-position model. The record is from RNAcentral.